Daphnia carinata is the source of this 923-nucleotide long non-coding RNA. RefSeq lists it as uncharacterized. The record is from RefSeq and is a predicted model, not a curated record. Lineage: Eukaryota; Metazoa; Arthropoda; Branchiopoda; Diplostraca; Daphniidae. The transcript has 3 exons.
CAAACCUAAGGUGGCAAUGAUUCAGCUACAAAUGGCCAACAACGUGUUGUUUUCUCCCUCCUGCAGGGCUGCCGUCUUGUUCAUAACAAGGAAAAUAAAAACUUGUUUUUGUUAUUAUUUUUAAAAAUUUUACGAAAAGAAAAUUUCUUAAAUAUUUAGAAUAACUUAAUUUAAAUUUAACUAGAAUAUAUAUUAAUACUAAAGUAAAAACCGUACAACUUUUGCAACUCCGUUGGCUGAUUUGGUGAUGUGUGUAAUGCAAAAAUGGGCGCCUACACCAUUUCGCCCUGAAGAUAUGUCACAUUGUGUUAUCGAUUCACAUCUAUACUCGAGCCUCUUCCAGAUCAUUGAUGCUUCGUAUAUUUUACUGUUUGUAUGGUGUUUCAUUACAACAAAUCUUUCAGCCGGUAUCACGAUACUAUUCCAUCUAUCGUUGUUUAGUAGCUGUAUGUAGAGGAAGAUAGACAAGAAGCGAAGAAAUAACAGGAUUCCUUUCAUUCUUCGUUCGACGCGGUCCAGACGCACGCGUGUUAUAAAUAACCUAACCAACUUGAUUAAUGAAAACGUAGAGCAAGAAGGCUCAUCGUCCCUGUGUGCGCAGGAUAUGGAAGCUUCGUCUCCCGAAACUAAUCAAUCCGCAACAAACUUGGUUGGCAUUCCUCCUUCUUGCCUCCAGAUGUUCUGUCGUCGUGCUUUUAUCCGCUUUUGAAUAAUCGACUUUUUUUUUUCAAAAGCCUCGAGAGUAACUUCCACCGCACCGCACUAACCAGAGUUAUCUACGAGGCUUUUUUCUCCAAGCCAAGAGAUGCUGCUGCCUUUUAUUUAGAGAAAAGUCAUUGGAUAAAGAGACAUGUACGUAUACGGAGCUGGCAUGUAUUUGUUUUUUUCUAUUCAACAAAAACUAUUCUCAUUUGAUUUAUCGA